AAGGUUGGGGUUAUCGAAAUCAGACCAGAGCGCCAAAUUCAAGAAAUCUGCUCGAGCUCGGACGACAACCAUCGACGGCGGUAGUGGCGACUUUCUGGAAAUUGUCGAUGAAUUCACUGGGAUCCAUUCGGCCGGAGGAGGAGGAGAAAGCGAAAAAGGUCUCGGCUAUGGCAAUGAAAAUAAAGGCAGCCCUUGUGGAGCUGGAUUCUCGCAGAUUACUUUCUUUCCAAAUCACUUGAAAUUACCAAGACAGCUGCCUUCAUUUCUAAGAUACUGGGCUGGCAAUCAUCGAGAGGCCAAUGCAGCAGAGCUAGGAUCAGGCUGGGGGUGUUUCCAAAUUUGGUUACAAAUUCCCCCGCAGUUAACCCUUCCGUUUUAUUCAUGUGGAACGGGGGCUCCGAUAACCACGGCCUUUGUUUAAGGUCCUUAGGCUGGACCAAUUUCUCUUUUGUUCCGGUGAUAUAUCUUAUCCUCCUCUGUGGUCGAAAUUCUUCAGCCACCACCACUUGAGUUAAAGUAUUUCCGGAAGGAAUUUCGUAGAUUACUACUGCAGGAACCUUUUUACUAUAGAAAGUCGGAUGAACAACUAUUAUAUAAGGUCUGAGUCAUCCCAGCCCCCAAAUUCGAAUUGCCACCUGAUGAUGGGUUCAGUUGGAGGAAGUAGAUCAGAAGGAAAUUCUUGGAGCCAAGUAUCCAAGGAACUAUAGGCGCACUCAUUGAAAUGUCCAAGGUUGCUUGGCUAGAAAGCGCGUGCAAAGAUCCGAUGACGACUCCCGUAAAUUCGUGGAGUUGACGAUGCGAUGAGUAGAUACAAAGAUUGGAAGAGGGAGCACAGGGAUAUCGAAGGGGCGCCAUCGCAUCAUAUGGUAAUCAGAAUUUUGCAAUAUAAACUAGAGAGAGAGAGAGAGAGCCCAUAGGUUCAGCCGCCAUUCAGUCAAAACCCAUAGGCUGCGUUUGGUAGUCAGGAUAAAAUUCAGGAUAGGAUAUGAUUUAUCUUAUCCUAUGUUUGGUGCUCGCUCAGGACAAGAUAAAGUCGGAUA
This is a long non-coding RNA of Eucalyptus grandis, 1040 nucleotides long. RefSeq lists it as uncharacterized. The transcript has 5 exons. The record is from RefSeq and is a predicted model, not a curated record. NCBI's taxonomy places the organism in Eukaryota, Viridiplantae, Streptophyta, Magnoliopsida, Myrtales, Myrtaceae.